Symphalangus syndactylus (siamang) is the source of this 201-nucleotide long non-coding RNA. RefSeq lists it as uncharacterized. The record is from RefSeq and is a predicted model, not a curated record. Lineage: Eukaryota; Metazoa; Chordata; Mammalia; Primates; Hylobatidae.
UAGGGGCCAGGCACAGUGGCUUACACCUGUAAUCACAGCACUUUGGGAGGCCAAUGUGGGCGAAUCACUUGAGAUGCAGCAAGAAGGCCCUCACCAGACACCAGAUGCCAGCAUCUUCAUUCUGGACUUCUAGCCCCCAGAACUAUCAAAUCAGGCAGCUGUCAUACUUACUAACUCAUGCAACAGAUUAUAAACCAAGCC